UAGCAUUGAGAAUGUUUACUGGGAGACGUC
This 30-nucleotide non-coding RNA is filed under the name Mus musculus (house mouse). Lineage: Eukaryota; Metazoa; Chordata; Mammalia; Rodentia; Muridae. The record is from RNAcentral.